AGUGGCGGACGGGUGAGUAACGCGUGAGGAUCUGCCCUUAGGUUGGGGAUAACAGUUGGAAACGACUGCUAAUACCCAAUGUGCCGAGAGGUGAAAGGUUUACUGCCUGAGGAUGAGCUCGCGUCCGAUUAGCUAGUUGGUGGGGUAAUGGCGUACCAAGGCGACGAUCGGUAGCUGGUCUGAGAGGAUGAUCAGCCACACUGGGACUGAGACACGGCCCAGACUCCUACGGGAGGCAGCAGUGGGGAAUUUUCCGCAAUGGGCGAAAGCCUGACGGAGCAAGACCGCGUGCGGGAGGACGGCCUGUGGGUUGUAAACCGCUUUUGACAGGGAAGAAGCUCUGACGGUACCUGUCGAAUCAGCAUCGGCUAACUCCGUGCCAGCAGCCGCGGUAASACGGAGGAUGCAAGCGUUAUCCGGAAUUAUUGGGCGUAAAGCGUCCGUAGGUGGUUWAGUAAGUCUGCUGUUAAAGCGUGGAGCUUAACUCCAUAUCGGCRGUGGAAACUACUUGACUUGAGUGCGGUAGGGGUCRGGGGAAUUCCCAGUGUAGCGGUGAAAUKCGUAGAUAUUSGGAAGAACACCGGUGGCGAAGGCGMCYYACYGGSMCAUUWCUGACGCUGAGGUGCGAAAGCGUGGGGAGCGAAAGGGAUUAGAUACCCCUGUAGUCCUAGCCGUAAACGAUG
This 683-nucleotide ribosomal RNA is filed under the name uncultured Oscillatoriales cyanobacterium. Its description in RNAcentral is "bacterial SSU rRNA". It matches the Rfam family "Bacterial small subunit ribosomal RNA", at positions 94 to 811 of the family's 1533-position model. Lineage: Bacteria; Bacillati; Cyanobacteriota; Cyanophyceae; Oscillatoriales. The record is from RNAcentral.